This 429-nucleotide ribosomal RNA is filed under the name bacterium. RNAcentral's name for it is "partial 16S ribosomal RNA". It matches the Rfam family "Bacterial small subunit ribosomal RNA", at positions 355 to 776 of the family's 1533-position model. The record is from RNAcentral.
UGGGGAAUCUUCCGCAAUGGACGAAAGUCUGACGGAGCAACGCCGCGUGAGUGAUGACGGCCUUCGGGUUGUAAAGCUCUGUUAAUCGGGACGAAUGGUUCUUGUGCAAAUAGUGCGAGGAUUUGACGGUACCGGAAUAGAAAGCCACGGCUAACUACGUGCCAGCAGCCGCGGUAAUACGUAGGUGGCAAGCGUUGUCCGGGAUUAUUGGGCGUAAAGCGCGCGCAGGCGGAUUGGUCAGUCUGUCUUAAAAGUUCGGGGCUUAACCCCGUGAUGGGAUGGAGACUGCCAAUCUAGAGUAUCGGAGAGGAAAGUGGAAUUCCUAGUGUAGCGGUGAAAUGCGUAGAUAUUAGGAAGAACACCAGUGGCGAAGGCGACUUUCUGGACGAAAACUGACGCUGAGGCGCGAAAGCCAGGGGAGCGAACGGG